Molecule: ribosomal RNA, 253 nt
Filed under: uncultured bacterium
Lineage: Bacteria
Description: partial 16S ribosomal RNA
Rfam family: Bacterial small subunit ribosomal RNA
Source: RNAcentral
GACGGAGGGAGCUAGCGUUGUUCGGAAUGACUGGGCGUAAAGGGCGCGUAGGCGGUUUUUUAAGUGAGGCGUGAAAGCCCUGGGCUUAACCCAGGAGGUGCGUUUCAGACUGGAAAGCUUGAGGACGAGAGAGGAAAGUGGAAUUUCUAGUGUAGAGGUGAAAUUCGUAGAUAUUAGAAAGAACACCAGUGGCGAAGGCGACUUUCUGGCUCGUAACUGACGCUGAGGCGCGAAAGCGUGGGGAGCAAACAGG